This 490-nucleotide ribosomal RNA is filed under the name uncultured bacterium. Its description in RNAcentral is "partial 16S ribosomal RNA". It matches the Rfam family "Bacterial small subunit ribosomal RNA", at positions 30 to 507 of the family's 1533-position model. The record is from RNAcentral.
AUUGAACGCUGGCGGCAGGCCUAACACAUGCAAGUCGAACGGUAACAGGAAGCAGCUUGCUGCUUCGCUGACGAGUGGCGGACGGGUGAGUAAUGUCUGGGAAGCUGCCUGAUGGAGGGGGAUAACUACUGGAAACGGUAGCUAAUACCGCAUAAUGUCGCAGGACCAAAGAGGGGGACCUUCGGGCCUCUUGCCAUCGGAUGUGCCCAGAUGGGAUUAGCUUGUUGGUGGGGUAGCGGCUCACCAAGGCGACGAUCCCUAGCUGGUCUGAGAGGAUGACCAGCCACACUGGAACUGAGACACGGUCCAGACUCCUACGGGAGGCAGCAGUGGGGAAUAUUGCACAAUGGGCGCAAGCCUGAUGCAGCCAUGCCGCGUGUAUGAAGAAGGCCUUCGGGUUGUAAAGUACUUUCAGCGGGGAGGAAGGGAGUAAAGUUAAUACCUUUGCUCAUUGACGUUACCCGCAGAAGAAGCACCGGCUAACUCCGUG